RNAcentral lists this transfer RNA (73 nucleotides) under Candidatus Pacearchaeota archaeon ex4484_31. Its description in RNAcentral is "tRNA-Val". It matches the Rfam family "tRNA". Rfam says of the family: Transfer RNA (tRNA) molecules are approximately 80 nucleotides in length. Lineage: Archaea; Nanobdellati. The record is from RNAcentral.
GGGCCCGUGGUCUAGUGGCUAAGACGUCGCCUUGACGUGGCGAAGAUCGCAGGUUCGAUUCCUGCCGGGCCCA